Molecule: non-coding RNA, 81 nt
Organism: Solanum tuberosum (potato)
Lineage: Eukaryota; Viridiplantae; Streptophyta; Magnoliopsida; Solanales; Solanaceae
Source: RefSeq, marked provisional
GAGUGUGCCUUAGAACACAGGUGUAUUUUGGUCUACUCCUGUUUUGGACCCAAAAUAUGCUUGUGUUCUCAGGUCACCCCU